This 396-nucleotide ribosomal RNA is filed under the name uncultured bacterium. Its description in RNAcentral is "bacterial SSU rRNA". It matches the Rfam family "Bacterial small subunit ribosomal RNA", at positions 29 to 428 of the family's 1533-position model. The record is from RNAcentral.
AUUGAACGCUGGCGGAAUGCUUUACACAUGCAAGUCGAGCGGCAGCGCGGGGGCAACCCUGGCGGCGAGCGGCGAACGGGUGAGUAACAUAUCGGAACGUACCCAGUCGUGGGGGAUAACUAUCCGAAAGGAUAGCUAAUACCGCAUACGUCCUGAGGGAGAAAGCGGGGGAUCGCAAGACCUCGCGCGAUUGGAGCGGCCGAUAUCGGAUUAGCUAGUUGGUGGGGUAAAGGCUCACCAAGGCGACGAUCCGUAGCGGGUCUGAGAGGACGACCCGCCACACUGGAACUGAGACACGGUCCAGACUCCUACGGGAGGCAGCAGUGGGGAAUUUUGGACAAUGGGGGCAACCCUGAUCCAGCCAUUCCGCGUGAGUGAAGAAGGCCUCGGUUGUAA